AUCUAUGGCCAUACUCCCUUGAGCAUGUGCAAUCUCAUCUGAUCUUGGAAGCUAAGCCGGGUCAGGCCUGGUUAGCACUUGGAUGGGAGAAACAACAAGAGUGCAUGGUUUCACAGUUC
RNAcentral lists this ribosomal RNA (119 nucleotides) under Oryctolagus cuniculus (rabbit). Lineage: Eukaryota; Metazoa; Chordata; Mammalia; Lagomorpha; Leporidae. The record is from RNAcentral.